ACGAACGCUGGCGGCGUGCUUAACACAUGCAAGGCGAACGGAAAGGCCCUGCUUUUGUGGGGUGCUCGAGUGGCGAACGGGGGAGUAACACGUGAGUAACCGGCCCUUGACUUUGGGAUAACUUCAGGAAACGGGGGCUAAUACCGGAAAGGAGCUCCUGCUGCAUGGUGGGGGUUGGAAAGUUUCGGCGGUUGGGGAUGGACUCGCGGCUUAUCAGCUUGUUGGUGGGGUAGUGGCUUACCAAGGCUUUGACGGGUAGCCGGCCUGAGAGGGUGACCGGCCACAUUGGGACUGAGAUACGGCCCAGACUCCUACGGGAGGCAGCAGUGGGGAAUAUUGCACAAUGGGCGGAAGCCUGAUGCAGCAACGCCGCGUGCGGGAUGACGGCCUUCGGGUUGUAAACCGCUUUCGCCUGUGACGAAGCGUGAGUGACGGUAAUGGGUAAAGAAGCACCGGCUAACUACGUG
Molecule: ribosomal RNA, 467 nt
Filed under: uncultured bacterium
Lineage: Bacteria
Description: partial 16S ribosomal RNA
Rfam family: Bacterial small subunit ribosomal RNA
Source: RNAcentral